ACUCCUACGGGAGGCAGCAGUGGGGAAUUUUGGACAAUGCGCGGAAGCCUGAUCCAGCCAUGCCGCGUGAGUGAAGAAGGCCUUCGGGUUGUAAAGCUCUUUCGGCGGGGAAGAAAUUGCUUGGGUUAAUACCCUGAGUAGAUGACGGUACCCGAAUAAGAAGCACCGGCUAACUACGUGCCAGCAGCCGCGGUAAU
Molecule: ribosomal RNA, 197 nt
Filed under: uncultured beta proteobacterium
Lineage: Bacteria; Pseudomonadati; Pseudomonadota; Betaproteobacteria
Description: partial 16S ribosomal RNA
Rfam family: Bacterial small subunit ribosomal RNA
Source: RNAcentral